UUAAAGCUUCGGUUGUUCUUUCGGUCCACUUCAGAAAACGGAUUUGUUUGACCAUUUACUCUGUAGAUCCACAGAUCUCCCCCACUCACAUCCUUAGCAACUCUUUCGAGCACUUUUUUACUUGUCCUCACUCUCCUCCCUUCCUCACUUUCCUCUCCUUCCUCACUUUUAAUCCCUCCGCCCACCCUUUCCAGUGUUACUUGGCUACAGCGCUCGAGUUCUGACAACUGGCCUGAUUGAAGCAAGCCGUCCUUGCAUCUGUCUUCCUGAGAGUAAUCUCUUCAUGCUUUACACUUGGCUGCAUGGUAGUGGGAGGACGGAGGAAAACCUGAGAACCCAGAGGAAACCCACACAGUCACGGGAAGAACGUACGCAUCCAUCCUUCCAUUUUCUAUACCACUUAUCCUACACAGGGGGCGCACGGUGGCUUAGUGGUUAGCACGUUCGCCUCAUACCUCCAGGAUCGGGGGUUUGAUUCCCACCGUGGCCCUGUGUGUGCGGCGUUUGCAUGUUCUCCCCAUGCUGCUGUUUCCUCCGGGUACUCUGGUUUCCUCCCCCAGUCCAAAGACAUGCAUGGUAGGCUGACUGGCAUGUCUAAAGUGUCCAUAGUGUAUGAAUGGGUGUGUGAGUGUGUGAAUGUGUAUGUGAAUGUGUAUGUGAUUGUGCCCUGCGAUGGAUUGGCACCCUGUCCAGGGUGUAACCCGAUGCUGCCUGGGAUAGGCUCCAGGUUCCCCCGAAAAGGAUAAGCAGUAUAGAAGAUGGAUGGAUGGAUUAUCCUACACAGGGUCACAGGUAGCCUUGAGCCCAUCCCAGGGAACUCGGGGCACAACAUAGGGGACACCCUGGAUGGGGUUCAAUACGCAGUGGGGUAUCUUGGACUGGGGAAGGAAACCGGGGUACCUGGAGGAGAACAACAGAGGUGUGAGGAGGUGCGAGACAACAGUGCUAACAGUGCUAACCACUAUGGCCCUGUUUACACAAGUGCGUUUAAGUUUUAAAACGAAUAACUUUCGCCCGUCGUCUACACUACUCCGGUGUUUUCGACGCUCGAGAACUGAGGCUUCUGGAAACGUCAAAGACCCUGUUUUAGUUUGAAAACUCCGGGCUCGCGUUUCAGUGCAAACAGACCGAAACGAAGACGCGGCUUCACCCACAUUCGCUCGUGAUUGGGUUUUCUGGAUCAUUGCGUAUCCUUCCCUGAUUCAUCAAGCCCCUAUCAUAUGACCAUUACGCUACCUUGAUUGUAUACAACAACAACAUGGAGACUGAACUGCAAGCUUUGCUGGCUUUGUCGUCAUUCUUAGCAGCCAUUGUACAGUUAAAUUCUGUAUUUUAUAAUACUGCAGCUGCCUACAUGCGCAAGAGCCGAGCUACGAUUAGAGCAAUCAGCAACAAAUCUCAUUUCAAGCGGCGCACGCCCUGCAUGGAACACCGGUUUGUUGUGCCUGCCGGUGAUUAGCAACCAACUUCCUGUUUACACUUUAAUGCGCAUGACCAGUGUGCAUGAACGGUCAUGUGACGUGCGUAUUCGGUCGUGUAGUGUGGGACGGAGAUCGUUUCUGAAACACAGCGGAAACGCCAGUGUGGACGAGGAUCGUUUCAGCUAGUGUAAACAAGGCGUAAUCCAAGCCACACGAGUUUCUCCAGAGCAGAAUGCCGAUGUGAUGCUUCACGUGUGAUAUAUAACAUCUUCUUGUUAAAUGUGAAAAAUGAAUAUACUGACAGUCCAAAAUGAUUCCUCAAACACAGCGCUCGGAAAUUAUGUUUGUUUUUUUCAUUCCUGGUUUAUCCCAGCAUUGGACGAAUCCCGCUAGCUGUGCGAAUGCCAGUAGAUUAGGUGGAGGCCUGCGUAAUGCUGUGCGUUUGAGGAAGCCAGAGUUCCCGUGGAUGUUAUUUUAAAAGGCAGAACUCACAGCUGUCGCAAUACAUGCAGAGCACAGAGCGCGCACACACACACACACACACACACACACACACACACACACACACACACACACACACACACACACAAUACAACAUCCAGUAAUAUGGGAGAAAGCAAAGAAAACGACCUUCCUCUGCUAUCUUUAGUGUUCAAAACAGUGCCGUUCAACUAAUCACCGUCCCAGUGCUAAAACCCUGAUUAUUCAAGAAUGGACACACACACAAUCACACACAGACUGUGUAACAUAUGGAGUACUAUAAACAGUAGAGAAUGUGAUCGGUACUAGGUCUAGAUCGUGAUUAAAUCAAUAGCCACACUGAAACAAACAAAUAAAGGGCUGACUGAGCAGGAAAUAAGUCUCAGAAGAUAUAUAGCACUUUGGUAGACCUAAUGUCUAAAAAAAAAAAAAGAACAACAAUGUUUUUUUGCAGUUAGUGGUAAAGUUACCACAGAAGCUGUAGCUAACAUUAAGACACAAAGUCGAUAUGGAGCCUUAACAUACGUUUCAUUGAACGAGUUAGCUGGGACAAGGCUACACUGUACUGUAACGAGCUGGUAGAGAAACAGUUGCACUUUAAAAAGCUUCAGAAAGUUCAAACGCCUCAAGUCAUACUUUCACGUCAACCUCUUGGUUGAUAGACAGCUACGGUCGUCCUACUGUUCCAGGAGCGCUUCUGACAAACCAUUAAGUGCUCCUUUAUCCCUUAUCAGUCUGGCUUACUCUUCUCUUUACAAUGCUACAGAUAUGACACGCUCUAACCCGCUGAGCUCGGCAAACCUGCAGCGCAGCACCGGCUCGAUCGACCGAGCAACACUAAUUGCUCUUCGUCACUCUGUCCCUUUGUGAUAAGAAUUCAGAAUUCAGAUUCAGAAGGUAAACAGCCUUUCGCUCCCUUUAUGUCUGUAUCAGUCAAAAACAAGGCCAUAAUUAUGUAUAUCUCAUGACCAACCCUAAGCGGCUUACUGUCGUAAGAGUUAAUCCAGAAAUCCCUUUGUUCCCACAGUAUUAAAAUGCAAAGUUUACUUGAAAAAAAUAUUUGUUACUACUUUUUUUUU
This is a long non-coding RNA of Ictalurus punctatus (channel catfish), 2980 nucleotides long. RefSeq lists it as uncharacterized. The transcript is spliced from 2 exons. NCBI's taxonomy places the organism in Eukaryota, Metazoa, Chordata, Actinopteri, Siluriformes, Ictaluridae. The record is from RefSeq and is a predicted model, not a curated record.